UUUGAAUUCUGGCCCCCUCGGGGUCCGAGUUGUAAUUUGUAGAGGGUGCUUUGGCGUUGGCCGUGGUCUAAGUUCCUUGGAACAGGACGUCACAGAGGGUGAGAAUCCCGUACGUGGCCGCCGGUCUUCGCCGUGUAAAGCCCCUUCGACGAGUCGAGUUGUUUGGGAAUGCAGCUCUAAAUGGGAGAUAAAUUUCUUCUAAAGCUAAAUAUUGGCCAGAGACCGAUAGCGCACAAGUAGAGUGAUCGAAAGAUGAAAAGCACUUUGGAAAGAGAGUCAAAAAGCACGUGAAAUUGUUGAAAGGGAAGCGCUUGCAGCCAGACGUGCCCGCAGUUGCUCACCUGGGCUCUCGCCCGGGGCACUCUUCUGCGGGCAGGCCAGCAUCAGUUCGGGCGGUUGGAUAAAGGCCUCUAUCACGUACCACCCUUCGGGGUGUCCUUAUAGGGGAGGCGCAACACGGCCAGCCCGAACUGAGGACCGCGCAUCAGCUAGGAUGCUGGCGUAAUGGCUGUAAGCGGCCCGUCUUGAAACACGGACCAAGGAGUCUAACAUCUAUGCGAGUGUUUGGGUGUAAAGCCCGGGCGCGCAAUGAAAGUGAACGGAGGUGGGAACCCCUUACGGGGUGCACCAUCGACCGAUCCUGAAGUUUACGGAAGGAUUUGAGUAAGAGCAUAGCUGUUGGGACCCGAAAGAUGGUGAACUAUGCCUGAAUAGGGUGAAGCCAGGGGAAACCCUGGUGGAGGCUCGCAGCGGUUCUGACGUGCAAAUCGAUCGUCAAAUUUGGGCAUAGGGGCGAAAGACUAAUCGAACCAUCUAGUAGCUGGUUCCUGCC
RNAcentral lists this ribosomal RNA (832 nucleotides) under Neoroussoella alishanense. Its description in RNAcentral is "Neoroussoella sp. AK-2019a partial large subunit ribosomal RNA". It matches the Rfam family "Eukaryotic large subunit ribosomal RNA", at positions 114 to 962 of the family's 3401-position model. Lineage: Eukaryota; Fungi; Ascomycota; Dothideomycetes; Pleosporales; Thyridariaceae. The record is from RNAcentral.